This 400-nucleotide ribosomal RNA is filed under the name phytoplankton environmental sample. Its description in RNAcentral is "partial small subunit ribosomal RNA". It matches the Rfam family "Eukaryotic small subunit ribosomal RNA", at positions 587 to 991 of the family's 1831-position model. The record is from RNAcentral.
AGCUCCAAUAGCGUAUAUUAAAGUUGUUGCAGUUAAAAAGCUCGUAGUUGGAUCUCGGGUCCAGGCUUGUGGUCCACCUCGCGGUGGUUACUGCUCGUCCUGACCUACCUCCCGGUUUUCCCUUGAUGCUCUUAGCUGAGUGUCUCGGGUGGCCGGAACGUUUACUUUGAAAAAAUUAGAGUGUUCAAAGCAGGCAUUUCGCCUGAAUAAUGGUGCAUGGAAUAAUGGAAUAGGACCUCGGUUCUAUUUUGUUGGUUUUCGGAACUUGAGGUAAUGAUUAAGAGGGACAGACGGGGGCAUUCGUAUUACGGUGUUAGAGGUGAAAUUCUUGGAUCGCCGUAAGACGAACUACUGCGAAAGCAUUUGCCAAGAAUGUUUUCAUUAAUCAAGAACGAAAGUA